This is an RNA transcript of Gossypium raimondii (Peruvian cotton), 511 nucleotides long. RefSeq lists it as uncharacterized. The record is from RefSeq and is a predicted model, not a curated record. The transcript has 3 exons. Lineage: Eukaryota; Viridiplantae; Streptophyta; Magnoliopsida; Malvales; Malvaceae.
UUAAUUGAUUGAUUUUACAGAAAUUCUUUCUCCUUAAAAUUAAUUGUUUGAUUUCGUUUCAGGAGGAAAUAUUUGUUAUUGUGGCCUGUUAUCAUCUUUUCCCUACUUGUUUUUCUUUCACAAGUUGCAUGUCUUGUUAUAUGGGAUGUUGGAGGCUAUAAACAGAGUGUAGGAGAUGUUUGGUGGCUCAAGCUAAUUGGUUUUAUGAUAAUCCAGUCUUGGAGAUCUCCCACUGUGAUCUAUUUUUUGGUUACACAACUUCUAGUGCUAGUAGUUGCAUUGCUUGAUAUACAUGGGAACAGAUUCGGUCUUGUUCCGUGGCGGUAUACUUGUUGGGGUCAUUUCUUAACAGUUGUUGACCAAUUAGGUUUGUUCCCAUCUUAAAGUUGCUUCCUAUUUGCUUCUACCUGCUAUUCAGCUGGUUGUGGGAAUUAGCCAUCCCUCGUGGAUUUCUCUGCCAUUUUUCAUUGGAAGCUGUAUUGGGAUAGUGGAUUGGUCUUUGACUAGCAAU